UCCCUUAGAGCUUGUAAAUUAAGCAUUUCUUUUACACAGAAAAGAAAUUUGUGAAAAUCAAAUUAUUGGAA
This 71-nucleotide transfer RNA is filed under the name Freyastera benthophila. RNAcentral describes it as "tRNA-Val". Lineage: Eukaryota; Metazoa; Echinodermata; Asteroidea; Brisingida; Brisingidae. The record is from RNAcentral.